Scatophagus argus is the source of this 607-nucleotide long non-coding RNA. RefSeq lists it as uncharacterized. Lineage: Eukaryota; Metazoa; Chordata; Actinopteri; Scatophagidae. The transcript is spliced from 3 exons. The record is from RefSeq and is a predicted model, not a curated record.
CAGAGCCAAACAGAAAGCAAAGUCAGGCAUAAGCAGGUGGACAUCGUGUAGCAAUUAGCAGCUAAAGAGCUAGAUGUGGCCUUCUUGAGUUGAUAGAGACCCAAACAGAGCUAAAAAGAGAGAAUAUGGGACUUAUAUUGAUCCGGUGACAACCGUUCACUGCACUCCAAGUGGCCAAGUGAAAGGCCCAGAGUUACACUUUUAUUGACCAUUCCUUUGUAAGAAUCUGUUCACAGGGCCAUGUCUUCCUUUUCCAGUUAUCAAAAAUUAAGGCUAUUGCUUUUAGCUCUGAUGCUCAAGAAGAAAGGCAAGCCCUAAGGGACAAUUUGAUGCCAAGGCCAGAACAGUUAUUUGCAAGUAAGGAAUAGAGUGACCGUAACGCCAGAUGACGCUAUCAGUCUGUCCUCAGAGGAGUGUCAGUGGUCACAAUGAUCACCUUCUUCUAGAACGGCUUUGGAUGUCUGAUGUUCGUCAUCCCCAGACUACAAUAAAGCUCCGUUUGUCUGAUGACCACAACUGACAAAAAUAAGGAGCAUUUCAGGCAAAAGGAUCAUAGAAACGAAGUGGGCUGUGAAGUGAACUAAUGAAAAUAAAGUCCUCAUUUGUG